AACAGGUGGAGCCUGCGGUUUAAUCGGACUCGAACGCCGGGAAACUCACCAGAUAAGACAGCUGAAUGAUAGUCGGGCUGAAGACUCUACUUGACUAGCUGAGGGGAGGUGCAUGGCCGUCGUCAGUUCGUACUGUGAAGCAUCCUGUUAAGUCAGGCAACGAGCGAGACCCACGCCAACAGUUGCCAGCUCGUCCUCCGGGAUGGUGGGGACACUGUUGGGACCGCCUCUGCUAAAGAGGAGGAAGGAAUGGGCAACGGUAGGUCAGCAUGCCCCGAAUUAUCUGGGCUACACGCGGGCUACAAUGGGUGGGACAAUGGGUAUCGACACCGAAAGGUGAAGGCAAUCUCCUAAACCCAUCCGUAGUUCGGAUUGUGGGCUGCAACUCGCCCACAUGAAGCUGGAAUCUGUAGUAAUCGUGUCUCAAAAUGGCACGGUGAAUAUGUCCCUGCUCCUU
Molecule: ribosomal RNA, 457 nt
Filed under: uncultured Methanomicrobiales archaeon
Lineage: Archaea; Methanobacteriati; Methanobacteriota; Methanomicrobia; Methanomicrobiales
Description: bacterial SSU rRNA
Rfam family: Archaeal small subunit ribosomal RNA
Source: RNAcentral